RNAcentral lists this ribosomal RNA (239 nucleotides) under uncultured bacterium. RNAcentral's name for it is "partial 16S ribosomal RNA". It matches the Rfam family "Bacterial small subunit ribosomal RNA", at positions 98 to 334 of the family's 1533-position model. The record is from RNAcentral.
CCGCACGGGUGAGUAACACGUAUGCAAUCCACCUGUAACAGGGGAUAACCCGGAGAAAUCCGGACUAAUACCCCAUAAUAUGGGCGCUCCGCAUGGAGAGCCCAUUAAAGAGAGCAAUUUUGGUUACAGACGAGCAUGCGCUCCAUUAGCCAGUUGGCGGGGUAACGGCCCACCAAAGCGACGAUGGAUAGGGGUUCUGAGAGGAAGGUCCCCCACAUUGGAACUGAGACACGGUCCAA